AUCUUGGAGGCAGCAGUUUUCGGGGGUUCAGGGGCAGGACUGAGGCUUAGCACACGAACUCCAGGAGCCCCAGGAAGCCAGGGAGGAGAAGACACCAGGCUCCAUGCUCUAAGCCCAACAUCAACACCGCUCACUCUUCCUCUCUUCAUCCCUGAAUGACCCGCCCAUCUCUACACUCCCCGAGCCAGUCCCCUCUCGGACAGCUGCUUUGUUCAUACUCACCAGGGGAGGGGAGUGGCCAGCAGGAGACACCUCCCAGGGGCCUUCGGGAAGCUAACACAGAGCUGGAUGCAAAGUGCAGCGGAAUAACUAUCUGCAGGUGAACGAGACAGUCCCUACAAGCUAGCAAGCAGUGGGCAGGGAAGAUGAGGAAACAGGCUCCCAAAGCCUAACUUGCUCCUAGCCCCUCACCAUCUGCCGGCCUCGGGCUACAGCUGCAUGAACGUUCU
Long non-coding RNA from Vombatus ursinus (common wombat), 449 nucleotides. RefSeq lists it as uncharacterized. NCBI's taxonomy places the organism in Eukaryota, Metazoa, Chordata, Mammalia, Diprotodontia, Vombatidae. The record is from RefSeq and is a predicted model, not a curated record. The transcript has 4 exons.